UAGCCGUAAACGAUACUCGCUAGGUGUCGGCCACGGUGCGACCGUUGUCGGUGCCGUAGGGAAGCCGUGAAGCGAGCCACCUGGGAAGUACGGCCGCAAGGCUGAAACUUAAAGGAAUUGGCGGGGGAGCACAACAACGGGUGGAGCUUGCGGUUUAAUUGGAUUCAACGCCGGAAAUCUUACCGGGACCGACAGCAACAUGAAGGCCAAGCUGAAGACUUUGCCGGAUUAGCUGAGAGGAGGUGCAUGGCGU
RNAcentral lists this ribosomal RNA (253 nucleotides) under uncultured archaeon. RNAcentral's name for it is "partial 16S ribosomal RNA". It matches the Rfam family "Archaeal small subunit ribosomal RNA", at positions 748 to 1000 of the family's 1478-position model. The record is from RNAcentral.